GAUGAAGAACGUAGCGAAAUGCGAUAAGUAAUGUAAAUUGCAGAAUUCAGUGAAUCAUCGAAUCUUUGAACGCACAUUGCGCCCGCCAGUAUUCUGGCGGGCAUGCCUGUCUGAGCGUCAUUUCAACCCUCAUGCCCCUAGGGCGUGGUGUUGGGGAUCGGCCAAAGCCCGCGAGGGACGGCCGGCCCCUAAAUCUAGUGGCGGACCCGUCGUGGCCUCCUCUGCGAAGUAGUGAUAUUCCGCAUCGGAGAGCGACGAGCCCCUGCCGUUAAACCCCCAACUUUCCAAGGUUGACCUCAGAUCAGGUAGGAAUACCCGCUGAACUUAAGCAUAUCAAUAAGCGGAGGA
This 348-nucleotide unclassified non-coding RNA is filed under the name soil metagenome. RNAcentral's name for it is "partial contains 5.8S ribosomal RNA, internal transcribed spacer 2, and large subunit ribosomal RNA". The stretch from base 1 to 120 matches the Rfam family "5.8S ribosomal RNA", at positions 35 to 154 of the family's 154-position model. The record is from RNAcentral.